UUAAAUGUGCGAACUGGUAAUG
RNAcentral lists this microRNA (22 nucleotides) under Hydra vulgaris (swiftwater hydra). Its description in RNAcentral is "hma-miR-3003b-3p". Lineage: Eukaryota; Metazoa; Cnidaria; Hydrozoa; Anthoathecata; Hydridae. The record is from miRBase by way of RNAcentral.